CCAAAGAGCCGCUGAACCUCACCCUGCCGGCUGUCAAUCACUCCGCCCACUUCCUUUUGUCUGCCAUAGGCCACGCCCACCAACGGGACUACACGUGUGUUUAUCACGUAGAUGUUUAUAACCACAGCUUCUCAUCGUCUCAGAGCCCCACCCUCUAUCUCACUGUUGGAGACUCGGGGACACCUCUGACCGUCAGGGUGGUGCUCAUCGUCCUGGCUCUGCUCAUAAUUGUUCUUUGCCUCUUCUUCUUCUUCUUCUUCUACUAUAAGGUCUAUGUGAGGCGGAGCUAAAGGAAGGCGGAGUCAAACACAGUCACAGUUCAGGAAGAAACAUCCCAUUAAUAGAGUUCCAGUUGUUCAAGAGGAGUUGUGUUAUUGUUUAGAGUUAUUGUUUAGUGUUGUUGUUUGUUGUGCUAUUGUGUUGUUGUUGUGUGCGUAGUUGGGUUUCUUUCAGAGGACUCAACCUCCCACUGAAGAUGAGGAGGAGGAUGAACAGCAGAGGAGGAGGGUCACAUGACCCAAUAACAAACACACACACACACACACACACACACACACACCAGAGCAGUAGAGAAAACACAGUUACGACACUUAGACUCCUGUUGUAAAAAAUGUCAGACUAAAUACGGACGUCCUUCCUGGUUCUGGAGGCGGGGCCAAUAAUUCCAAACAUUGACUGUACCACCGUCUGAACACGUUCAUUUGUAUUUGUGCUGAUCUACCAACUCCAGCUCUAAGGUGAUCAGAUAUGGUCAUCUUUCCACUGG
Molecule: long non-coding RNA, 766 nt
Organism: Sphaeramia orbicularis (orbiculate cardinalfish)
Lineage: Eukaryota; Metazoa; Chordata; Actinopteri; Kurtiformes; Apogonidae
Exons: 3
Source: RefSeq, a predicted model, not a curated record